This 440-nucleotide ribosomal RNA is filed under the name uncultured Sphingomonadales bacterium. RNAcentral describes it as "bacterial SSU rRNA". It matches the Rfam family "Bacterial small subunit ribosomal RNA", at positions 338 to 795 of the family's 1533-position model. The record is from RNAcentral. Lineage: Bacteria; Pseudomonadati; Pseudomonadota; Alphaproteobacteria; Sphingomonadales.
CCUACGGGAGGCUGCAGUGGGGAAUAUUGGACAAUGGGCGAAAGCCUGAUCCAGCAAUGCCGCGUGAGUGAUGAAGGCCUUAGGGUUGUAAAGCUCUUUUACCAGGGAUGAUAAUGACAGUACCUGGAGAAUAAGCUCCGGCUAACUCCGUGCCAGCAGCCGCGGUAAUACGGAGGGAGCUAGCGUUGUUCGGAAUUACUGGGCGUAAAGCGCACGUAGGCGGCUUUUCAAGUCAGGGGUGAAAUCCCGGGGCUCAACCCCGGAACUGCCCUUGAAACUGGAUGGCUAGAAUACUGGAGAGGUGAGUGGAAUUCCGAGUGUAGAGGUGAAAUUCGUAGAUAUUCGGAAGAACACCAGUGGCGAAGGCGACUCACUGGACAGUUAUUGACGCUGAGGUGCGAAAGCGUGGGGAGCAAACAGGAUUAGAUACCCGAGUAGUC